AUGAGCCCGCCAUCACCUGAUACCAUAACGAAGCUUACGCCAAUCUCAUAGUGAUAGGAAAAGAUUCUUGCAAGUGCUAUGCAGCGCGAAAAAUCGCGAAAAAUCGAGUUUAGCCUUGUUU
This 121-nucleotide ribosomal RNA is filed under the name uncultured Ochromonas. Its description in RNAcentral is "partial Eukaryotic large subunit ribosomal RNA". The record is from RNAcentral. Lineage: Eukaryota; Chrysophyceae; Chromulinales; Chromulinaceae.